AGCAGCCGCGGUAAUUCCAGCUCCAAUAGCGUAUAUUAAAGUUGUUGCAGUUAAAAAGCUCGUAGUUGAAUUUCGGGAUCAAGGAAUCGGUCAUGCCUUGGUAUGUACUGGUUUUAUUGGUUCUCACCUUCUAAAGAACCAUAAUGUCAUUUAUUUGAUGUUAUGGGGAAUUAGGACUGUUACCUUGAAAAAAUUAGAGUGUUUAAAGCAAGCUUACGCUUGAAUACAUUAGCAUGGAAUAAUGAAAUAGGACAUCAGAUUCUAUUUUGUUGGUUUCUAGGAUCGAUGUAAUGAUUAAUAGGGAUAGUUGGGGGCAUUAGUAUUCAAUUGUCAGAGGUGAAAUUCUUGGAUUUAUUGAAGACUAACUACUGCGAAAGCAUUUGCCAAGGAUGUUUUCAUUAAUCAAGAACGAAAGUUAGGGGAUCGAAGACGAUCAGAUACCGUCGUAGUCUUAACCAUAAACUAUGCCGACUAGGGAUCGGAUGAUGUUAAUUUUAUAAUGA
This 503-nucleotide ribosomal RNA is filed under the name uncultured Glomus. Its description in RNAcentral is "SSU rRNA". It matches the Rfam family "Eukaryotic small subunit ribosomal RNA", at positions 569 to 1077 of the family's 1831-position model. The record is from RNAcentral. Lineage: Eukaryota; Fungi; Glomeromycota; Glomeromycetes; Glomerales; Glomeraceae.